CUUACCUACGGGAGGCAGCAGUGGGGGAUAUUGCACAAUGGGGGGAACCCUGAUGCAGCGACGCCGCGUGGGUGAAGAAGCGCCUCGGCGCGUAAAGCCCUGUCAGCAGGGAAGAAAAUGACGGUACCUGAAGAAGAAGCCCCGGCUAACUACGUGCCAGCAGCCGCGGUAAUACGUAGGGGGCAAGCGUUGUCCGGAAUGACUGGGCGUAAAGGGAGUGUAGGCGGCUUAUCAAGUUAGAUGUGAAAUCCCGCGGCUUAACCGCGGAACUGCAUCUAAAACUGGUGAGCUGGAGUGCAGGAGAG
Molecule: ribosomal RNA, 305 nt
Filed under: uncultured bacterium
Lineage: Bacteria
Description: bacterial SSU rRNA
Rfam family: Bacterial small subunit ribosomal RNA
Source: RNAcentral